AGACCUUACUUCGCACCGCCUCCCACUUCAGCGAGCCCUCAGGAGCGGGUCCGCGCCCUCCGUCCUCCACCGCUGAUUGGCUGAGCGGAUGUCACUCUGCCAAUGGCGCGUUGCUAUUGGCUGGGAGCGCGCUUCGGCCCGCCUCCCCCUCAGCGGUGCGGAGCCGUCAUGGCGGGUUGGAGCCCCUGAGGCGCGGCAGGGCCGCCAUGGCCCCGAAUCCCCUCAGGGGCGGCUUAGGCGGCUCUGACGCGCUUCCCGGCGUUUAACGGCGAUUAACGGGUCAAUCCCUCCGGCCACAGCCCGGUUAUCACCCUGGAUUAGGGGCAGCUCAUGCCCUGGCGGGUCUGAUCGCCUCAAAGCCAUGGAAGGAAUAUCUGAUUUUUAAUUUUUAUUUUUAACCUAAAUAGCCUGAAAUGUCUUGGAGCAGUGGCCAAGAAGAAGAAGCGGCGCCUUUGGGGUGUGGGGAGCGCCUUUGCCCCGCGGCGAGGCUGAGCAGGGAUCCAGAGGCAGGAAAAUUCCAGGUGGGAUCCAGAGGCAGGAAAAUUCCAGGUGGGAUCCAGAGGCAGGAAAAUUCCAGGUGGGAUCCAGAGGCAGGAAAAUUCCAGGUGGGAUCCAGAGGGAUUUCCUUGGGAUUUAACCGGGCAGGAGGAGAGGAAGAGCGGGACAGCACCUCGAGCCUCCCAAAUCCAAAUUUCUGCUGCCUCUCUUUUGGGGUCGAUGGUCUUGGGGCAGUUUUGGGAGAGUUUUUCCUCAAGAUUAAAUGGAAAAAAAAAAAAAAAAAAAAUAAAAUCCUGGAAUUGGAUUUUU
Molecule: non-coding RNA, 807 nt
Organism: Taeniopygia guttata (zebra finch)
Lineage: Eukaryota; Metazoa; Chordata; Aves; Passeriformes; Estrildidae
Source: RefSeq, a predicted model, not a curated record